This is a long non-coding RNA of Actinia tenebrosa (Australian red waratah sea anemone), 1073 nucleotides long. Lineage: Eukaryota; Metazoa; Cnidaria; Anthozoa; Actiniaria; Actiniidae. The record is from RefSeq and is a predicted model, not a curated record.
UCCCGGUUUAUCCGGGAGAGUUGACAGCCCUGCUUAUAUCCAAUGGGCGUUGUUCCUUUGUUAAGGUUGGGGCUUUAGAAUGGGUGGUAGGUUUGGGGAUUGUCUCCAUAUUUUCAUUGGGUUUAGGGUACCGUUCCAGAAGUUGACUUGCCUUCGCGGUGUCAUCUUGCCCCUUUCACCGUCGUCGUACGAAGAUCGUGUUUGGUUGACCCGCCCUGUUUUACCCACACUGUUAAGUUUCCUUUUCCUUCAUGUAACCGAAUGCAGUCGUUGUUCACUCCCACUCUUAGUUAGACGAGUGUGAAAGGGACUGAUGCAAACAGUAUACUGUUCUAGCUCUUGUGGGAUAUAGCAACGGUAACUAAGAGGAGUCGGAACCAUGAAUCCACCCAUCAACCGGGAUGAGGGACGGCGGAACAGUUCUUAAAGUGGAGACUCCCCCAGCCCCCGUCUCCGCCGUCCAUGAUCAACCGGUUGUACCAUAUUUGAUUUGUCAUCAAGGGUAAUGCAUACGAUGUCACAUUUCGAUUCAAUUCAAUUCCAUAUAUUUUAUUCACACACUUGUCUUUAUAGAGUUGAAUAACAAAUCAUAAUUGUUUAUAUUUAAAAUUUAUAAUAGAUUUUAUAGAAAGAUAUAUAAAUAAUAAACAUAACUAUUGGUCUACCUGUGGUUCUAUACCAUGAUACCUUGCGCGUCACAUCACAUGGCGUCUAUCUUGCUGGCAGAAUUGGUUUAUGUUGCUCAAACUUGAUUGUUAAUAACACUGAAAACUUCAGGAUGGGCACUUGCAGGAAAGGGGAACUGAAGAUGAUAAAGGGGUCUUUCGCUCUCCUCUCCUGCAAAGUUUCUCUUCAAUUGAGAGUCUACACUUGCUCUUUGAAAUUCAUCCACUAUUAGAGAGGGGUCUGGUCUGAUGUUGGCCUUGUUGAGGUAAAGAUGGCGUUUUUGAAGACAUGGACAAUGGCAGUUAUAGUGACUGUUACUCUUUGUGGACAGUCUCAUCAGUCCAUUUGCAUCAUUGUAGAAGUAAUUUUCUUUAUGCAGGAUGAAUAUAAGAUAUUCGGGAUCAAAA